RNAcentral lists this ribosomal RNA (484 nucleotides) under uncultured bacterium. RNAcentral describes it as "partial 16S ribosomal RNA". It matches the Rfam family "Bacterial small subunit ribosomal RNA", at positions 30 to 507 of the family's 1533-position model. The record is from RNAcentral.
AUUGAACGCUGGCGGCAGGCCUAACACAUGCAAGUCGAGCGGAUGAAGGGAGCUUGCUCCUGGAUUCAGCGGCGGACGGGUGAGUAAUGCCUAGGAAUCUGCCUGGUAGUGGGGGAUAACGUCCGGAAACGGGCGCUAAUACCGCAUACGUCCUGAGGGAGAAAGUGGGGGAUCUUCGGACCUCACGCUAUCAGAUGAGCCUAGGUCGGAUUAGCUAGUUGGUGGGGUAAAGGCCUACCAAGGCGACGAUCCGUAACUGGUCUGAUAGGAUGAUCAGUCACACUGUAACUGAGACACGGUCCAGACUCCUACGGGAGGCAGCAGUGGGGAAUAUUGGACAAUGGGCGAAAGCCUGAUCCAGCCAUGCCGCGUGUGUGAAGAAGGUCUUCGGAUUGUAAAGCACUUUAAGUUGGGAGGAAGGGCAGUAAGUUAAUACCUUGCUGUUUUGACGUUACCAACAGAAUAAGCACCGGCUAACUUCGUG